Molecule: ribosomal RNA, 283 nt
Filed under: uncultured soil bacterium
Lineage: Bacteria
Description: partial 16S ribosomal RNA
Rfam family: Bacterial small subunit ribosomal RNA
Source: RNAcentral
AGAUUGAACGCUGGCGGCAUGCCUAACACAUGCAAGUCGAACGGGAGUAGCAAUACUCUAGUGGCGGACGGGUGAGGAAUACGUAGGAAUUUGCCCUUAAGUGGGGGAUAACCCGGGGAAACCCGGAUUAAUACCGCAUGACCUCGAAAGAGCAAAGUGGGGGAUCGCAAGACCUCACGCUUUUGGAGAAGCCUACGUCGGAUUAGCUAGUUGGUGAGGUAAUGGCUCGACCAAGGCGACGAUCCGUAACUGGUCUGAGAGGAUGAUCAGUCACACCGGAACU